RNAcentral lists this long non-coding RNA (598 nucleotides) under Androctonus crassicauda. The record is from RNAcentral. Lineage: Eukaryota; Metazoa; Arthropoda; Arachnida; Scorpiones; Buthidae.
CUUAACGGGAUUCCCUUCUUUGUUUGUUUGAUUCGAAGGGGAAGGGCCCGUUGAGUUCUUAAGAAUCAUAAUAUUUUUUUCGUCUAAAUGCUAAAACGGAUUUCUUUUUCUUUUCAAAAACUCCGUUUUUCUCAUUUUUCUGAGCAUGUUUUUGAAAAAUUCACUUCAUUGAGUUAGUCAGACCACCUCUUCUUUUUAUAUGAUAGUAUCUAUCGGUACUUUCAAAGUUGGAAGAAAGAAGGAAGAACUCAAUUUCUUGGCUGCUAUCAUAUAUUAGAUAGCGUGCAAAUCCUUUCUAUACUAAUCUAAUGUAGAACCUUACUCUCUAUAUUACAUUACUCUAUUGAUUUUUUAUUGUUUUCCUAUUUCAUCAUCAAAUUUUUUAUAAGAUAAGUUGAUUGAAGAAGUUUUAUUUAAUUAAUAAAAUUUCCUCUCUUUUUUGUUUUGUUUGUCCACCAAUUCAUAUAUUAUAUGUAAGGGGGUAGGUGUAGGGUUUCUGAUACAUCUGGAAAAAUUGAAACCAAGACUAGGAAUUUUUAACAAACAGGAUCAAGAAUCAUUACUCUUUCGUUUCGACACAAGAAAAAAGGAUUUUUCU